ACAAGUACCGUGAGGGAAAGUUGCAAAGCACUUUGAAGAGAGAGUUAAACAGGACGUGAAACCGAUGAGGUGGAAACGGACAGAGUCGGCGUAUCUAGCCUGUAUUCAACUGAGACCCACAUUGGGUAGGCCCUUUCCAGAUUGGACAGGCAAUCCAACUGUUUGGGAGUCUACAGUGCAUUUGCAAGUGGAGUGCGCUGAGGUGGUCGGGUUAGCUGCGUGAUCUCGGGUUUGAGGCCAGCCCCUCGGGGUAUGGUACCCGGCUCGGGGGAGUGCUGUUUAGCCUGUUCAACUUGUAUGGAAAUGGUAUCGGGUCCGGCUGGUAUCCAGCUAACAACUGGUGGCGGUCGCAUGCGACACGUACUAGUGGUUGGUUGGGUCCUGGUCUGGCUCCCAUGUUUUCCAAUCCUCGGUGUAAAAACCGGUCAUCUGUCCGACCCGUCUUGAAACACGGACCAAGGAGUUUAGCGUGUGCGCGAGUCAUAGGGUGUUGGAAACCCAAAGGCGCAAUGAAAGUGAAGGUCUCUCUUGUGGAGCUGAUGUGUGACCCGGGUCACCGAGGUGGCCCGGAGCAACAUGGUCCCGUCCUGAUCGCUUGCGAUGGGGCGGAGACAGAGCGUACGCGCUGAGACCCGAAAGAUGGUGAACUAUUCCUGAGCAGGACGAAGCCAGAGGAAACUCUGGUGGAAGUCCGAAGCGAUUCUGACGUGCAAAUCGAUCGUCUGACUUGGGUAUAGGGGCGAAAGACUAAUCGAACCAUCUAGUAGCUGGUUCCUUCCGA
RNAcentral lists this ribosomal RNA (781 nucleotides) under Rotylenchulus reniformis. Its description in RNAcentral is "partial large subunit ribosomal RNA". It matches the Rfam family "Eukaryotic large subunit ribosomal RNA", at positions 344 to 964 of the family's 3401-position model. Lineage: Eukaryota; Metazoa; Nematoda; Chromadorea; Rhabditida; Hoplolaimidae. The record is from RNAcentral.